UACAGAGGGGGCAAGCGUUAUUCGGAAUUAUUGGGCGUAAAGGGCGCGUAGGCGGCUUUUCAAGUGACGGGUGAAAUCCCUCGGCUUAACCGAGGAACUGCCCUCCAAACUGCUUCGCUUGAGACCGGGAGAGGUGAGUGGAAUUCCCAGUGUAGCGGUGAAAUGCGUAGAUAUUGGGAGGAACACCAGUGGCGAAGGCGGCUCACUGGACCGGUACUGACGCUGAGGCGCGAAAGCCAGGGGAGCGAACGGG
This 253-nucleotide ribosomal RNA is filed under the name uncultured bacterium. RNAcentral describes it as "partial 16S ribosomal RNA". It matches the Rfam family "Bacterial small subunit ribosomal RNA", at positions 524 to 776 of the family's 1533-position model. The record is from RNAcentral.